AACGAACGCUGGCGGCGUGCCUAACACAUGCAAGUCGUGCGAGAAAGUUCCUUCGGGAGCGAGUAAAGCGGCGCACGGGUGAGUAACACGUAGGUAACCUGCCCCCCAGUCUGGAACAACUAGAGGAAACUCUAGCUAAUGCCGGAUGAGACCACGAUCCCUUCGGGGGGUUGCGGGCCAAAGAUGGCCUCUACUUGUAAGCUAUCGCUGAGGGAUGGGCCUGCGGGCCAUUAGCUUGUUGGUGAGGUAACGGCUCACCAAGGCUGUGAUGGCUAGCUGGUCUGAGAGGAUGACCAGCCACACUGGGACUGAGACACGGCCCAGACUCCUACGGAGGCAGCAGUGGGGAAUAUUGCGCAAUGGGCGAAAGCCUGACGCAGCGACGCCGCGU
RNAcentral lists this ribosomal RNA (391 nucleotides) under uncultured bacterium. RNAcentral's name for it is "bacterial SSU rRNA". It matches the Rfam family "Bacterial small subunit ribosomal RNA", at positions 29 to 402 of the family's 1533-position model. The record is from RNAcentral.